CGACGGCGGUGUUUGGCACCUCGAUGUCGGCUCAUCACAUCCUGGGGCUGAAGUAGGUCCCAAGGGUAUGGCUGUUCGCCAUUUAAAGUGGUACGCGAGCUGGGUUUAGAACGUCGUGAGACAGUUCGGUCCCUAUCUGCCGUGGGCGCUGGAGAACUGAGGGGGGCUGCUCCUAGUACGAGAGGACCGGAGUGGACGCAUCACUGGUGUUCGGGUUGUCAUGCCAAUGGCACUGCCCGGUAGCUAAAUGCGGAAGAGAUAAGUGCUGAAAGCAUCUAAGCACGAAACUUGCCCCGAGAUGAGUUCUCCCUGAGACUUAGAGUCUCCUGAAGGAACGUUGAAGACGACGACGUUGAUAGGCCGGGUGUGUAAGCGCAGCGAUGCGUUGAGCUAACCGGUACUAAUGAACCGUGAGGCUUAACCUU
RNAcentral lists this ribosomal RNA (425 nucleotides) under Escherichia coli. RNAcentral describes it as "partial 23S ribosomal RNA". It matches the Rfam family "Bacterial large subunit ribosomal RNA", at positions 2506 to 2925 of the family's 2925-position model. Lineage: Bacteria; Pseudomonadati; Pseudomonadota; Gammaproteobacteria; Enterobacterales; Enterobacteriaceae. The record is from RNAcentral.